UACGAAGGGGGCUAGCGUUGCUCGGAAUCACUGGGCGUAAAGGGCGUGUAGGCGGUUUGUUAAGUCAUGUGUGAAAUCCCUCGGCUCAACCGGGGAACGACGCAUGAAACUGGCAAGCUAGAGUACCAAAGAGGGGGGUGGAAUUCCCGGUGUAGCGGUGAAAUGCGUAGAGAUUGGAAAGAACACCGAUGGCGAAGGCACUUUACUGGGCUAUUACUAACACUCAGAGACGAAAGCUAGGGUAGCAAAUGGG
RNAcentral lists this ribosomal RNA (253 nucleotides) under uncultured bacterium. RNAcentral's name for it is "partial 16S ribosomal RNA". It matches the Rfam family "Bacterial small subunit ribosomal RNA", at positions 524 to 776 of the family's 1533-position model. The record is from RNAcentral.